RNAcentral lists this unclassified non-coding RNA (417 nucleotides) under Hevea brasiliensis (rubber tree). The record is from RNAcentral. Lineage: Eukaryota; Viridiplantae; Streptophyta; Magnoliopsida; Malpighiales; Euphorbiaceae.
GCCAGCAGCUCCUCUUCCUCCGCCUCCGCAGCCUUCAAAUUGCUCAUCACGACAUCAUAAGCUUCAUUAAUCUUUUGAAACUGAACCCCGCAAUCCCUGCCCUUGCAGACAUCGGGGUGAUACUGCAGCGCUAGCUGCCGGAACGCCUUCUUCACCUCCAUCUCGGAGGCGCCGGGCUCGAUCUUGAGUGUUCUGUACUGAUCGGUGAGGCCGCCGCCGGCAGCGCAGCGAACACGGCCGGCGGAGCGGCGGCCCCUUCCUUUGACGGAGCUGCUCCGUCCACAAGCCGCCGUCCAAGAAGAGGACGGACCACCAGAACUCAUUAUCCCCAUAGAGAUCGCCAUUGGUAAAUCAAACCCUAGGAGAGAGAAAAAGGUUCUUUCAAAAGAGAAAGAUAUUGGAAAGAGAAUGAUUACG